UUGUUAUUUUAACUCAUUUUAAGUAAGUAAUUCAAACAAGCAACAACAAAUUUUUUUUGGCUGGAGAUCUCCAAACACAGUGUUGGCCAACCCUGUCCAGACAUCAAAAGUCAUUCAAACAUCAGUUUGAGAUGAUCUUUUUAAAUGAAGGAUGUUGCUCGGUUUCCAAGAUCUUCUCUUGAUCAUUCUCGACAACUUCUCCUUGUGAUCUUCCUCCUCUGUGUCACCUACAGGGAAAACGUCUGCUCUUUAAAGACCCUCUACUCUUUGUGUCCUCCUCCUCUAUCAAAGGACCACCCCGUAGCAGUUUUGUGAGAUCUCCAAACAGUCCCCCUGUACUUAAACACACUGAGCAAACUCGCAACACCUCAAGCCUGAAAGAGGCUUUGUGCACAUCACAAUGUCUUUCACCACUGUGAACAUCAAUCCUCAGCCAACACCAUCACUACGUAUUCCAGGUUGUAUUAGCAAAUACACAUGCAUUCAUACAAAUAAUGAGCUAAUAUUUGACCUAAAACACUGGGAGGUCAGGAAAUCAGAGACAUUUUGUGCGGCCUGUUGUUAUACAGAGCAGGUUGUAUCACGGUGGAUGAUUAUUUCUUUAUUAUGAAGAGGGAAAAUUAGAGCAUUUGCAUACAUUGGAUUAUAAUGAAUUGGAUUGUGAUGUGAGGCCCAGAGGCAUAAUAUUUAAACCCAGUGUUUGAACAUAUACAGAUGUUUUUUGAGUGUACGAUGUUCGUACUUUGGAUUUCAAUUGCUUUUUGUGUGUGUGUGACAAUGCAAUAAAAUGAUUUAAGUAUGAAAGGGAGGAACAAGGACAAAAUAAUAAGUGAAUAUAUUGCUUUCAGCAUAUACUUUAUUUUCUGUGAGCUUUUUGGUUUCAUUAAUUUUUGAUUCUUAAAAUAGAUUUUGAUUCUUAAAAUACAUUCUUUAUUUCUUUAUUUUUUAUAAAGACCAGACAAACAGACUCUUGUAUACAAAAAUAAAGCAUAAAAACAACACCAAAAAGGAAAAUUGUGAUGUAAAAGACAAAUUUGACCUACCAAGUGUCUACAAUAAAUCUAUAAAAAGGAAAAUUAAAGACAUU
This 1087-nucleotide long non-coding RNA is filed under the name Danio rerio (zebrafish). Its description in RNAcentral is "si:dkey-150l7.8 (ENSDARG00000098951.3)". The record is from RNAcentral. Lineage: Eukaryota; Metazoa; Chordata; Actinopteri; Cypriniformes; Danionidae.